This 3575-nucleotide long non-coding RNA is filed under the name Bemisia tabaci. RNAcentral describes it as "lncRNA ENSSSA1UGG009588". Lineage: Eukaryota; Metazoa; Arthropoda; Insecta; Hemiptera; Aleyrodidae. The record is from RNAcentral.
GGGAGGUGACAGGGCACUGUGGGCCAGAGAGGCCCGCUGAACGCGAAAAAUGCCGUUUUUUUGAGUGUUCAUUUUUUCAUUGAUGAUGAGAAAUUCGUUAAAAAGCUUCCCUAUGGGAUGUAGAUUCAUCAAAAAAUCAUUGGAUAUGCGCCCGACAGCGAUGUAUUUGAGGGGGGAACUUGGGCACCUCUCACACUGCACGGAUAACAUGCGGAAGCGCGCCCUGAACUUUGACCGUUCAAGGUCUUGUCACUGCUCAACGAUUUCCCGAGAUGAAUUGUGUUCACCAUGGCUGCUUCUUCUAAAGAAUUUUCCGUUUCAUACAAGGAAUUGUUUGAAUCCGUGAGUGGCGAAAUCAAUAAACCCGAUUUGGAAGGACGAUUAUUUGACUAUGUUUCAAAAAUUGUAGAGCCGCUGGAAAUUUCCGAGGAUGAGGAGAAGUUGCUUAAGCAAAAAUUGAGCAGUUAUACUAUAAACCUUAAGGACAGAUGGAAGAUCGUUGGCCGAUCGAAGAAGGUAUUAAUUCAAAAAUAUGGAAACAGCUGGUUUGAGGGUAAACUGACAUUCUCUAUCCGUUUUUCUGAUAACAACAAGCUCGAUACCGAAAGUCAACCUGAGGCAACAGUAGGACGUCCUCUAAGUGAUUUUGAAAAAUUAUCCCCUUCUGGAAAGAGAAAACGGACUCAAUCAAUACGGGAUGAAUAUUCUGCGGAAGAAUUAUUGUUUUCUACCAUUUUGGCACUUAAAGCUUCGGGAAAAUUUACUCUCGCCACAAUUUUUGAGAAAGUCAAUGAUAUGCCCGAUUCUUCACAAAAAUCUCUUUUAAAAGAUAUCAAGGAGAGAGAAUCCAGCAAUCCCGAUGCGGAUGCUUUUGAUUCUUUAUCCAUCCUUACCAACGCCUCUCUGACUAAACACCAGUACAAUUUGAUAAGACUUUAUGCUUUAGAGAAAAAUUCAAAAAUUUUUGUUCCCUAUAAUAAUGUUAGAGAAAUGAAACAAGUUUGUUAUCCUGAUCCGUCAUCGAUUACUGUGAGUGAAACAUGUGCCGAGGUAAAACUUCAAGCAUUAUUGGACCACACAGCUCAGCGCAUAAUCCAGUUAAUGUUCCCCACUGCUGAGUCCUUUGUAAAUUUUUCCACACGGUCUUUAUGCCUCAAAACUAAAUGGGGAUUUGAUGGUGCAACAGGUCAAAGCCGUUAUAAAAUUAAAUUUAGCGAAGACGAUGCAGAUGAUAGCAGUAUGUUUGGAACAUCUCUCGUUCCGUUACAAUUAACUGAUAUUGAAACUUCUGAGGUUGUUUGGCAAAAUUUAAAACCCGGGUCUGCCCGAUUUUGCCGGCCUAUUCGAAUUAGGUUCACCAAAGAAACUGAGGAAACUAUUAAAAAUGAAAAAGCAUCCGUCGAAGCAGAGAUUUCGAACUUAAUGCCAUCGAAAGUAACUUUACCAUAUUUCAAUGAGACUUUAGAGAUCAAACACGUUUUGACGUUAACCAUGAUCGAUGGAAAGGCGUAUAAUGCAAUUACAGAGACAUCCUCUCAAACAUGUGCCAUUUGUGGCAUUACGCCUUCAAAUGCAAAUAACAUCGAUAAAAUUUUGGAGAGAGAUAUUGACGAGGCAGCAUUAGAGUUUGGUUUGAGUCCCCUCCAUUGUUACAUACGUUUUUUUGAAUGUGUCAUUCAUAUUGCGUACAAGCUAGAUACAAAGAAAUGGCAGAGCCGUAGUUCCGAGCAAAAACAGCUCAAAGCAAUAAGAAAAAAAGAAAUUCAAGAUGGGUUGAGGAAAGAGAUGGGUCUUUUGGUGGACAUGCCCAAACAAGGAGGCUCAGGUAACACUAAUGACGGCAAUACUAGCAGAAAAUUUUUUUCAAAUCCUGAUUUGGCUGCCAAAAUCACUGGGAUUGAUGUGAAUUUAAUCAAACGAUUAGGCAUAAUCCUCAGGGUAAUAAAUAGUGAUUUUGAGGUAAAUUCUGAGAAGUUCAACGCCUAUGCUUUAGAAACAGCCAAAAUUUACUUCAGGAAAUAUUCCUGGUAUCCAAUGCCCCCCUCCGUUCAUAGAGUCCUAUUACAUGGAUACAGAGUCAUUCAGGUAGCUAUACUUCCAGUUGGGAUGCUCUCUGAAGAGCCACACGAGUCCCAAAACAGAUUUAAGAGAAAUAUUCGAGAACAUCAUGCUCGAAAAUGUAAUCGGAUAGAAAACCUUAGGGAUGUCUUCAUGCGUCUCCUAUUAAUGUCUGACCCGGUUAUUUCGAGCAGGAUGAAAGCGAGAAAUCCUAAAAAGAAAGAAGUCCCAGAUGAAAUGCUUUCCUUGAUCAAUCUAUUGCCAUAAUUGUAACCACCUCAUAACUUUUCUGUAUCAUUAUGUGAGCGCAUUUUUUUAUUUUAGGGGACAGUUCUGCCUUUCUAUUUUUUAUUUUAUCUGUGAUUCAAGUUCCUUAUUUUUUACCUUACAUAUGUGUCGUAAGAUGAGUAUAUUUUUUAAGUAACAUGUUCAUGCCAAGUUUUUAUUGGAGAUUGUUUUUUAUUUUUUUUGGUUGUGCUAUUUUUUGAUUAGUACUGAUACAGAAAUCUUUUUUUUAAAAUCAUAUUUCUUUAAUGUUUUUUCCUACUUUUCUGUGAUAUUUACUUUUAUUAUCUCUUCUAUUACCAUACUUAAACCAAUUUGAUUUUUCACCCUUAUUGUGAAUUAGUUUUUCUAUUGAAUUGUUAUGUUUAGUUCUAUUAUUACUGAAACCAGGUUGAUUUUUCACCCUUAUUGUGAAUUAAUUUUUCUAUCGACUUAUUGUUAUGUUUAGUUAUGUUCUUGUUUCUAUUUAGUCAUGUACCUUGUUCUAAUUUCAUUGUGUUCUUAUUGGAAGCAUAUAAAUUUAAUUUUCAUACUGUAAAAACUUAUUUCAUUCGUGUAUAUUUGCUCUUAAAAUUCAGUAAUUUGAGAAACUAGUAACAAAAGAAGUUGACAUAGUUCCUCUGUUUUAACACUUUUCUCUUUUUGGAGACUUAUUUUCAAAAUUAACGGUCGUUAUCAAGACACUAAUUGCUCCUUUUUUAGAUGACCGUUUCGUUUUUGAACAUUUCUCAGACUUUCAAGUGGCGUCAAAUCAUACAAAGAUUGCUCAUAAAAGAGUUUUCACUGGAUUCUAUUAAGUCCGCAUAACAUAAUUUUCUUGUAAUUUUUGAUCAAAUCUGACAUCAGAUUCGAGUUUAGCGACCAAAAAAACCCCCUACUACCAAAAACUAGUGACUUCCGAUGAGAUUUAGCCGAGAUAUGAAUUAUUCUCGCGCAACCGGCCCUCCUGGCCCACAGUGCAGGGGGGAGAAAGGUACAUCCUAUUCCCUCCCCCUCCCCCUCCCCCCAAAAAAUAAUCACGAAAAACGUUAAUUAAACGCGAAAAUUCCACUUUGUAAGACGAUUUUCAGGGCUUGUCCUUUCCACGCUUACACUAACAUAAUUUAACGAGGGGGGGGGGAGAAGGGUUUAUCCUCCCCCCUCCUCUUCCACCCCCUCCCCUCCCCCUCCCCUCAAAAAAUAAUCACGAAAAAAUUUAAAUAAAUGCGAAAAUUCCAUACUCUAAAGGCGAC